RNAcentral lists this transfer RNA (64 nucleotides) under Longitarsus pratensis. Its description in RNAcentral is "tRNA-Tyr". It matches the Rfam family "tRNA". From Rfam's summary of the family: Transfer RNA (tRNA) molecules are approximately 80 nucleotides in length. Their secondary structure includes four short double-helical elements and three loops (D, anti-codon, and T loops). Lineage: Eukaryota; Metazoa; Arthropoda; Insecta; Coleoptera; Chrysomelidae. The record is from RNAcentral.
GGUAAAAUGGCUGAGAUUAGGCAAUAGAUUGUAAAUUUAUUUACGAAUUAGAAUUCUUUUAUCA